This is a non-coding RNA of Cinara cedri, 577 nucleotides long. Lineage: Eukaryota; Metazoa; Arthropoda; Insecta; Hemiptera; Aphididae. The record is from the annotation of a GenBank genome assembly.
GUGAUCAUAUGUGGAAGUAUGUUUAUCUAGAGGUAUGGUCUUGAAUAGCCGAAACCAAGAAAGAAGAAUUAACAGUGAUAAAAAAUUUAAUAUUAACAAGAACAUAUUAUUUUUAACGAAACCACGGUUCUCAAUAAAAUAUCAACGUGAAAAGAAAAUUAUUAUUUAUAUAAUAAUUGGUGAUAUUGGACAAAUAAGUUUUUUUUUAAAUAAAUUUAAAAUAUACGUAAUAUUAACUGUAUUAUGUUAAAAAUAAUGGGUUCCAUUUUUCCGUUCUAUUACACAAAUAACACAUAUUAUCAUUUGUCGACGAAUCCUUUAGAUCCAUGUUAUUUCAUAGAUUCAUAGAUUAGUACACUACAUAUAAAAAAAAACUACGUGGAACAGCGAUGAAAACAAAACUCCAACCAAGAAGAGAAGUGAUUGCACAAAUUCGAUGCCGUUAUUGUGGCCGGGUGGCAUGGCGGGGUGACGCUGUGGCGGACGGCGGUAACGCAUGUGCAUUAUGUACGGACGCCUGCGCAUAGUCCGAUGCGUCGGCGUUUAUGGCGGCUGCGGGCCGCGGUCUCGUAUCGCU